This 237-nucleotide ribosomal RNA is filed under the name uncultured bacterium. RNAcentral's name for it is "partial 16S ribosomal RNA". It matches the Rfam family "Bacterial small subunit ribosomal RNA", at positions 334 to 587 of the family's 1533-position model. The record is from RNAcentral.
GAUGCCUACGGGACGCAGCAGUGGGGGAUAUUGCACAAUGGGGGGAACCCUGAUGCAGCGACGCCGCGUGAGUGAAGGAGUACUCCGGUAUGUAAAGCUCUAUCAGCAGGGAAGAAGAAAGACGGUACCUGACCAAGAAGCCCCGGCUAACUACGUGCCAGCAGCCGCGGUAAUACGUAGGGGGCGAGCGUUAUCCGGAUUCACUGGGUGUAAAGGGAGCGUAGACGGCCGAUCAAG